RNAcentral lists this ribosomal RNA (440 nucleotides) under uncultured bacterium. RNAcentral describes it as "partial 16S ribosomal RNA". It matches the Rfam family "Bacterial small subunit ribosomal RNA", at positions 338 to 795 of the family's 1533-position model. The record is from RNAcentral.
CCUACGGGUGGCAGCAGUGGGGAAUAUUGCACAAUGGGGGAAACCCUGAUGCAGCGACGCCGCGUGAGUGAAGAAGUAAUUCGUUACGUAAAGCUCUAUCAGCAGGGAAGAAAAUGCCGGUACCUGAGUCAGAAGCCCCGGCUAAUUACGUAACAGCAGCCGCGGUCAUACGUAGGGGGCAAGCGUUAUCCGGGUUUACUGGGGGUACAGGGGGCGUAGACGGGGAGCCAAGUCUGGAGUGAACUGCCGCCGGUUAACUGUCGAACCGCUGUUGAAACUGGCGCACUAGAGUGGGGGAGGGGUAUGCGGAAUGCGUGGUGUAGCGGUGAAAUGCGUAGAUAGUAGGAGGAACACCGGGGGCGAAGGCGGCUUACUGGAGCGUAACUGACGUUGAGGCACGAAAGCGUGGGGAGCAAACAGGAUUAGAUACCCUGGUAGUC